ACCGUUAUGGAACCGACACAAACAUUCAUCCACCGACGUGUCUCCCCCCACCAUCGUUUCACCGCCGUCAGAACCGUAUCUACUCCUAUAUAACCCUCACACAACCAGAAUAACCGCCGGUCAUGUAUCACCCAUCUGAAACCUUGGCAGACUCAUGGUGUGAGGGUAGUUGCAUUCAUAAAUCCAGUCACUCAAUUUCCAAUUAAUAAUACUAUUCCGCCACAAAGUAAUCUGCCACAAAACCCCAACGUAGUCGGCACCGGCCGGAUUCCGCACAGAUUUUCAAUUUACUCCACCGUCACCGGUUCAACAAGAAGAGAUGGCCGAUGAUGGUUUUAUUAAUUGCAUAAUCUCCCAACAAAACUUCAUCGUCAAUUAUCAUACAUAUAAUGCUACAAAGCGUAGAGGAUUUCUGGAGGUGCAACUUUGCCGUAGAAAUUAAAAAGAUAAAGGAUAUUGAAGCAAAGUUAAAAGACCAGGAAGAAUAAGCGAACCGGUUCAGGCAGAUCACAGAUGUAGCAUUCCUACGAAAAGGAAACGUUUCAUUUGGAGCAAAUGAUGGAACCGUGGUGGCUGUGCAGGUUCGGUGGUUGUGCUGUGGUGGUGGUUCAAUGGUGGUGUUGUGGUGUCGGUGGUGAUUUCCUCCAAUGCUUUUGAAUGGUGGUAUUUGGAGAUGUGAGAUAUGAUUUUGAAUGGUGGUAUUUGGACAAUACACUUUGUUUUUUGAUGA
Long non-coding RNA from Helianthus annuus (common sunflower), 730 nucleotides. RefSeq lists it as uncharacterized. The transcript has 2 exons. The record is from RefSeq and is a predicted model, not a curated record. Lineage: Eukaryota; Viridiplantae; Streptophyta; Magnoliopsida; Asterales; Asteraceae.